ACUCCUACGGGAGGCAGCAGUCGGGAAUAUUGGACAAUGGGCGAAAGCCUGAUCCAGCAAUACCGCGUGUGUGAAGAAGGCCUGCGGGUUGUAAAGCACUUUCAGUUGGGAAGAUAAUGACGUUACCAACAGAAGAAGCACCGGCUAACUCCGUGCCAGCAGCCGCGGUAAUACGGAGGGUGCGAGCGUUAAUCGGAAUUACUGGGCGUAAAGCGUGCGCAGGCGGUUAUGUAAGACAGGUGUGAAAUCCCCGAGCUCAACUUGGGAAUUGCACUUGUGACUGCAUAACUAGAGUGCGGCAGAGGGGAUGGAAUUCCGCGUGUAGCAGUGAAAUGCGUAGAUAUGCGGAGGAACACCGAUGGCGAAGGCAAUCCCCUGGGCCUGCACUGACGCUCAUGCACGAAAGCGUGGGGAGCAAACAGGAUUAGAUACCCUGGUAGGUCAGUC
Molecule: ribosomal RNA, 447 nt
Filed under: uncultured bacterium
Lineage: Bacteria
Description: bacterial SSU rRNA
Rfam family: Bacterial small subunit ribosomal RNA
Source: RNAcentral